This 8982-nucleotide long non-coding RNA is filed under the name Marmota monax (woodchuck). The stretch from base 2911 to 2983 matches the Rfam family "tRNA". Lineage: Eukaryota; Metazoa; Chordata; Mammalia; Rodentia; Sciuridae. The record is from RNAcentral.
AUUACAAGUGUGGUCUGUGAACCUCUUGCAUGAGUAUGACCCUCAGGUAUUGGUUAUAGAAAACUUAGGCUGUCCCAUAUACACACAAUUUCUGGGGGGGGGGAUCUCAAUAAUUUGCAUUUGGAAUAAACUUCUAAAAUGAUCUCUAUGCCUAUUUAAUUUUUAGGAUCCUUGGCUGAGUGAGAAAUGGAGGACCUAAAACUGAAGCCUGAGAAAUAACGAGAGGCAUGGAAGAAGAGCAUUAUCUGAAAAGGAGAAGGAAAGGCAGAGGGCGAGGACACUGGAAUGUCAGGAGAAUGGAGAAUUUCAAGGUGGGGGGGAGUGAUCAACUGGGCUUGAGGUUCUUUUUUUUCUUCUUCUUUUUUCUUUUUUUCUUUUUUCUUUUUUUUCAUAUUUAUUUUUUUUAGUUUUCGGCGGACACAACAUCUUUGUUGUAUGUGGUGCAGAGGAUCAAACUGGGGCCACACGCAUGCCAGGAGAGCGCGCUACCACUUGAGCCACAGCCCCAGCCCUGGGCUGGAGGUUCUUGAGAUGUCAAAUGAUUUGGGGACCAAGAAAAGUUUAUUGGAUUUUUCAACCCAGAGAUCAAUGGACCCCUCAACAAGAAUAACAGUGAAACAGUGGUAGCAGAAGCCAGAUUAGAGAAGACAAGACAGAAAGGGGAACAUGUGGAGAGAUGAGAUUGUAGCUACAAGGAAAUGUGAGUUCAAGAGUAGUUUUUAAAAAUCUAAGAGAUAUCCACAGCAUGUUUGAAUAAUGUUUCAGGAAAUCAAUACAAAUACAAACUCAAGACUUUCCACUGGUUGUAUUAUUAAUGGCAUGCAGGCAGCCCAACCUCUGACAGCCCCAGAGGACCCAGGCAGGAGAAUGUGUCCUUCUGUCUGGAUGUCUAGUGGCUGCUGGGGACGGGUACUACCAGCUAACAGAAAAACUUGAAGAAUUUCAUUCAAAACACAGAACUGACACACAAGGGCCUUCCAAAAUUACCAUGGAAUGAGCCUUUCUGAAGAGAUGGCCAGAGAAAACAACAAAUCCAGAUCAAGAACAGAGCUGCCUCAGUCUGACAGCUGCACCCCCACCUUACCUGCUACUGAUUCUGGUCCGAAAGAACUAUGAGGUCAUGUCUGUGAUGUCACAGACACUGACAAACUUUCAUCUCUGGACACUCUCUGCUUCUCUUUCCAGCCUGAGACUUUGUGUCUCACCAUUCCUCAAAGUAGUUGGGGUCUCCUUUAAAGCCCUAUGGUCUGCAAGAUCCUAAGUAUGAUUCCUGGCUCUUCUCUUGGAAAAAUUCCUGGGGAUGGGGCUUCAUUAGCUUCAGUUGGAGCACAGCAACACCCUCCUCCAUUACUGCAGGGUUGCUAUUCUUGGAGCUCACACAUUAUUGUCUGAAUACAAAAACUCCAUCACUGAUACCCUGCUUCACCCCUACAGAUCACCGUGUGGACUCAGGACAGAAGUAUGGGAAUAGAGAUCUCUGGAAAGCCAAAGCUAAAACACUGAAUGAGAAGUCGGAUAUGUGCAGCUGGGUAAAACAGGACCAGGAGGAAAGUUAUAUCCCAGUGCCACAACUACCACUGGCAGAGAGCACAACAGAGUCCUGUUUGCUCAGGGCAGUGUAGGGAGUCUGUGCAGCCACACCCUGAGCUCCUGAGCUCUGUUAUAUAUGCAGCAUACUCCCAGUCCUUCUGGUCCCACUCUGGCCAUCUCUUGAUAACAAAUCUAGCUGUAUUAAUCUGUUUAGAGAAGUGUCCCCCUCACAUUGAGGCUGUUUUAGUCAGAUUUUUCACUGCUGUGACUAAAUGAUCUGACCAGAACAACUGUAGAAGAGGAAAGGUUUAUUUACAGCUCACAGUUUCAGAAGUUGUAGUCCAUAGAAGGCCAGCUCUAUUCCUCGGAGCUUGAGGUGAGGCAGAACAUCAUGGCAGAAGAGUGUGUCAGAGGGAAGCAGCUCACAUGGAAUCAGGAAGCAGAAAGAAAAAGAGUCUCCACUUGCCAGAUACAAAUAUAUACCCCCCAAACCAGGACCCAAUUCCUACCUUCUCCAGCCACACCCCACCACUUCAGUAACCACUCAGUUAAUCCCUAUCGGGAUUAAUUCACAAAUUGGGUUAAGACUCUUUUUUUAAUAUUUAUUUUUUAGUUGAGAUUGUACACAACACCUUUAUUUUUUUAUUUAUUUUUAUGAGGUGCUGAGGAUUGAACCCAGGGCCUCACACAUGGCUAGGAGAGUGCACUACGGAUGAGCCACAACCUGAGCCCUGGGUUAAAGACUCUUACAACCGAAUCAUUUCUCCUCUGAACUUUCUUGCAUUGUCUCACACCAUGAGCUUCUGGGGGAUAUUUAAACCAUAAUAGAGGACUUAACUAAAAUUCCUCUGCCUUGCUGUGCAUUGUGAACCAUCACAAAGCAAGCACUUCAAGAACCAGAAGAUUUUCAUUCAGAGCUGGCUCAGUUGAAUAUAACUUGAAGAGGAAAAAGUUUGUGUUCUACAGGGGAUAUGUGUCUCUCUUCAUUAUUGAGGAGGAGAGACCUACUGAAAGCUUAGUGUUUGGUGAGAACAUCCAGUCUUGCCUUUGGCCCACUCUCCUGGAAAGGAAAAACAGCAUUCUCUUAGGAAGGCUGACAUGGACACCGGCUGGGGAAAAAAAGAAGUGAUAAAGAAGGAAGAGCAACAAAAUCAAGAUUUUCCACCUGUUCCCACUGCCUGUCCCAUACCCAAGCCCAUUACAACCUGCUAUCCAUUUUCUCUGACCAUACUCCCUUACCCUCCCACUGCCUUGAUGCAGUGGCACAUGCAUGUAAUCCCAGCCAUUCGGGAGGCUGAGGCAGGAGGACCACAAGUUUGAGGCCAGCUCUGGCAACUUAAAGAGACCCUAUCUCAAAACAAAAAAUAAAAAGGAGGGGCUGGGGAUACAGCUCAGUUGGUAGAGUGCCUGCCUUGCAUGCACAAGGCCCUGAGUUCAAUCCCCAGCCCCCCCCAAAAUAAAUAAAUAAAUAAAUAAAUAUAAAAAGAGAUGGAGAUGGGACUGGGGGUCCCAUCUCAGUAGGAGAGCACUUGCGAGCAUAUGCAAGGCCCUGGGUUCAAUUCCUAGCACCACCAGAAAAGUGGUGGGGUCUGGAGAUGUAACUUAGUGGUAAAACACCCCUGAGUUCAAUCCCCAAUACAAAAACAAACAGAAAAAAGCCGUUACUUUGGUCCCCCAGGUUCUCACUCCAAAUCCUGUACCAAGGUCGUUGCUUUCUGGGUGAUGCUCCAUCACUCAGACCCAGCUUGAAUCUCCCUGUGUAGGAUGGUCAGGAAUUGCUUUAGCCCCAGAGUUCUCUCCUGAGUGCAAUGUCAGCUGUUGCCUUUAACAACAGAGCUCUCAGAGUUGGUGGAAGACCCUGAGAAGCCCAGAUACUUGCUACAGUCUGGAGGGCUGGUGGGAGAUCUCCAAAUUGCCAAUCCCUUUGAGAGAGGUUAGCUUUACCAUCAACCACCUGAGAGACAACAAGGAUAGGUGAGGAGUUCAACUGCAUAAGCUGAUCUGCAGCUCAAAAUUCAGUUCCUACAACUCUGAAGAAUCACCUCCAGCUAGGUCUCUCAGAUAAAAUCUUUGCUCUGGAAAAGAGGUCAUGUGAGAAUUUAUUUCUCUUCAUUUCCUCACUCUAAAAAAGAACUAAAGAAUGUAUAGUUUUCUCAUCACAUUCAUAAAGGCUCUGACCUCAUCAAUGAAUUAAUCAAUUGAUAACUGAAUAGACUACUGGUAGGUGGUGAAAGGGGGACAUAAUUAAAGGAGUGAAUCCUUCAAGAUAUGCCCUUAUGGACUGUAUCUGUCCCUGGCCUCUUCCUCUCUGUAUCCCUAGCUAACAUGACACGAGAAGUUUUCCUCCACCACAUCCUUCAGCCAAUUAUUUUCUACCUUACCUCAGGCCAGAGCAAUGGAGUUGGAUGACUACAGAAUGAAAAUUCUUAGCUGAAAACAAAUGUUUUCUCCUCAAAGUUGUUUUUCUGUUAUUUGUCACAGUGAUGAAAAGCUAAUGCAGAGGCAAAACUGGUCUUUGCUUGAGAUGUCUCUGACAUCUGUACCCCUUCCAUUUCCACUACUAUCAUUUUAAGGCAGGGCAUCUAAAACAGCACGACUGAUAUUUGGGGUAAGAUAGAUCUUAGGUUGGGGUAGGUGGGCAACCUGUUUUGAAAGAUAUUUGGUUACAUCCCUGACCACCUCCCACUAGAUGCCAGUAGCACCAUCCCAGUGAUGACUAAAAUUAUCUCCAGACAUUGGCAAUGUCUGGGAAUAUCCUCUGAGGGGCAAAAUCGCCCCUGGUAGAGAAUCCCUGAUCUAGAAAUAGAUUAACAUCUUCACCCACCAAGCUUUUCCUGCCUGAAACACUCUUUCCCCAAAGUCCUAAUUCAUUCUUUCCAUAGACAGUGAAUACGAAGAAUGGCUGUUCUCCACCCCUCCCAACCAGGAAAGAACACCUGAGCCUAGACCUUACAAAUGUAGAAGAAAAUUCUAUGUCCUCAAGAGGGUCUCAUCCUCUUGAAAACGAGAGGAUGAGGAUUAUAACAAAGCCACCUCCACCUUCUUGAAGCCUCCAGAUCCUUCGAAGCCUCGCCCCUGCCCGGUACUCUCAGGGCGCUUUAUCUGCACCCACCUAAUACCAGAACUGGUUUCGGGAGGGUUUAUCUACCGCUCUCUGAGGGCAAGUAGCUUCUAUGUAGUCCUCUUGCAAGAAGGCUUCGGUGACGCCACGCCUCCCAGAUAGAAGGCCCAGUUGUCUCCGCCACCGAGGUUUUGCGUCCCGGGACCCAGGAGCUGACAGCAGCGGGGCAGAAGGCGAAGACACAGCCCUUACAUACACGCGCCAUGAAAAGCCCAGCCCAGCGAGACUCACCUAGCACGCCGGAAGCUACCGCGGGCACGCCGGAAGUUGCCGCGCGGCACGCCGGGAUCUGAAAGUCGGGACGCAAGUGCACAGGCCAGGUCCGAAAGUUCGCCUUCAAAGACCGCCCCCUUCCUCCUGGUUUCCGCCCUCUGCUAAUCGACUUGGGUUCUCACCGUGAGGGUCCUUCUCUCAUACUCUGGACCAAUCAUAACGUCCGAGAACCCCUCCGUGCGUCCACGGAGGCACCGGUUGUGAGGCGCUUCCCCUUGUCGCUUGUGUUAGCAGGCGACGCGAGGCUCACAACCCGGUUUCACGGACGAGGUGGUGAAACUGUGCUGACACCUCGGGGCUUGCUCUGUUCGGCGUAGUGCCUCACACCCCGCGACCUCAACCCCGCCCAACAGCCGGGACGUCGGUACUGGAGCUGCUUUCGCCCUCCAGACGAGGAAUCCGAGGCAGAGUUCAGAUGACUUUCUAUCGACAGAAGUAGUUAAAAUUCAUUUCUGAUCUACUUUAUUCCUAAUUUUGUUUUUAAAUAUUACGGUAGAACCACAAAACAUUCUUGAUCGGUAGAAAAGCUGGGGAUCAGCAGGAACGAUGGGAGGUCCCAGGGAUACAAUUUCCCAGGGAGAGGAAAUCAGUUUUCUGAAGAAGCAGGGUGUACAGUCAGCCUCUCAAGAGAACAGGUUGUCAGCCCUGCUCACAGGGCGCCCACAGACCAUAAGGACAGAACAAGUACCACACCCCACCCCCAUUUCCCCACAUACAGAACAGACCUUAAACAUAAACAGAUCAGUAGAUAUCCCCAUUGAGCAAAGCAAGAAAACCAACGUACCACAUUGGUUGGUCUCAAUUAGGUUCUCAGGCCUGACAAAACCAGAAACUAAAGAAUGUGUAGACAGGACCUCCGGGGAACACAGGUGUCAUUCUCACUCUGGAGACUGAGCAGUGUCCAUGCUGAAUGUAAUUUCAUUUUAAAUAAAUCUUUGGGGUGUGUGUGUGUGGGGGGGGACAUGACUAUGCUAUCAGUAAUUUGCCUGCUCAGGACACAAGAAACUGAGGGACCUGCUUCUUCCUGCAACAUUCCUAGUCUUCCUAUGACAGUUCUCCCUUACAAAUAAAUCAGCUUCAUAACUACCUCCAGAAGUGCAUUCCUACCCUAGACCCUAGAGAAAAUAACUAUGAUAACUAUAUCUUUCUUAACUAAAUAUAUAUAAUCUAUGCGGUGUCUUAAUUUUUUUCUGAUUCUGUAUGUCCACCUCAUAUUCUAAAACUGCAUUUAGGCCUGUACCACAAUAUAUAUUCAGUCUUCAAUCAUUUCCCUUUUGAUGGACAUUCAAACACUCUUCUGCUUUUCAUGUAUCUCUUAUUCUGAAUUGGGAGUUUCUGGACUUAUUUUGAAGAGGAUUGGGAUUUGGAGUGCAAGUGAAAGAGUGGAGGACAAUAUUAAGACUUCUAAAUAUGGUUUUCUGCCUUCAUUUUUGCUCCUCUUCAUCCAUCUAUGGUUUAUAAAGGUAGUGGUAGCACAAAGAGCAGUAAUCCAUCAGAAUAUAGACUGAGGCAAGUGGAAUGUGAAAUGGACUGAUAAAGUAUUUCAUCUUUGAUUAAACAUAGCACGGAGAGGGUUCCCAAGUAUGUUUAUUUAACGAACUGGUUGCAGAUUGGUUUUAGGGACAGCCUAUGGUCACUACACUGCCAUCUGCUGGCCCUUCCAAUAAUCAGUGGUAAAGCAAAUACUCAAGUAUUUCUACUCCCAGUGUCAUGACUUUUUAAGUUACCUUGCUGCCUUCUAUUCAGAUGGUAAGAUAAUAGAUGGCUGCAUUGACAGGAAAGAGAGAGAAAGAGCCUUUGUGUGGGGAGAAGCAAGGACAUAACCAUGCUUUUGAUGGCCAUAGUUCUGCAUCUCUGAACCACCUAGAAGCUUCUUCAGUGUACCCCUAAGGGUUUUGCUCCUCAUGCUGUCCAUGAGAGUAUGAAACAUGGGUGUAACCAAUAAGAAUAGAGAGUUUGAUCUGAUCAAGGAAGUAGUUGUUCCUAUGCUAGAUUUAGUCAGAGGUGACUGUCCCAAGGAAAGACCACUACCACAUUAUGGGACCUGCGUGUUCCAAAGUCUGUGCUCCUAUUUGUCCUUGUAAGAUCAGAUCUUCAGUCAUCUAUGGCAAUGUAGCCAUAGGUGACAGGGAUCAAGCCAAGUGAAACCAGUAAAAAUAUGUACAAUGAACAAACCAAGUAAGGAAAUGGCCUCAGUGCUUGUUAGGACUAGGUCUCUAAAGCCACACACUAUCAUUUCUAUUUUUUUUUAGAAGUCAGUUACAAUAUUUAGUUCACACUCAGGGGUAGAGGAAUUGGGCUCUACCUUAGGAAGAGAGGCAUAGUAUAUCAAAGAACUCGCAGGCCCAUUUUAAAACACCCAUAACUUGGUACCUUAUUAUUGUUGCUAAGAUUGUCUUGUCAUCAAGGAAAUCCAUACUUUUGCUCUCUCUCCCUACUGUCUGGACUGGCUUCCACUGAUUCAUACAUACAUCUGGACCUCAACCUUCACACUUUAUCUUAAUAAUCUUUUUAGUUCAGUGUCGGUUUUUUUUUUGUGGUACAGGGGCUUGCACCCAGAGGUGAUCUACCACUGAGCCAUAUGCCCAGCCCUUUUUAUUUGUUAUUUUCAAACAGGGUCUCACUAAAUUGCUGAGGCCGACCUCAAACUUGUGAUCCUCCUGCCUCUGCCUCCUGAGUCACUGGGACUCCGGGAGUACACCACCUCACCCAACUAGAUGGCUUUCCUGAUCAUCCUAAUGCUUACCCUCUUGAACCACUGGGUUCAAGUUAAUGUUGAGAAGACAUCUACCAUCCACAUCACUCAAUUUGCUCAAACCUACCCUAUUUUCUCUGUGCUUCUCAUUUUUCAUAUUCUAAAAUACCUAUUCCAAGAAAAUGUCUGAAGAAAAGUGGUGCUUUCUUCUUAUUUUCCCACUACACCAAUUUUCUUCUCUACCUCACACAUGAGGUUUAUUAUAAAUAUAGUUAUUUUUAAUAAACUAUAUUUAUUAUAGAAUGUAUACAUUUUGCUUGUGAAAGGAUUACAAAAAUUUCCCUGGCUUUUUUUCUCAGCCAUCAUGGUGUGUGCACUUGACUUUGUUCCUUGCUAUAUCUUCUCAGAAGACAUUUCAGAUCAAACAAUUCCCAGCCAAUAAACAAAAGCAAAAUUGCCCCUUCUCUAAUGGAUUCAGAAAAAAACUAGUAAUAAAACCAGGAACAACUCCAAGCAGAGUCUUUGGAAAAGAACCAGGCUGCAUCUAUAAGGAAUUGCACAUGAAACGGCAUACAUCUUUAUGCUGCAUUGAGGUCACUAAAAUUUUACUGGAUUAAUCUGAAAGUGAUACCACUGCCUGGAAAGUUGGACAUAUUUUUUUGUGGGGGCGGGGGAUAUGAUUUCUUUUGUUUCUAUGCUCUGUCCCAGUAGGUUGAUUGAGUAAUAAAUAUGUGAAAACUUUAAAAAUAUCACUCUAUAUGGAGUACUUCACAUUAAAUUAUGUCCUUGGAGUUACCUCAGUGCACUUACAAUGUUGGAGAUGGAAAUAGGGAGAAAGUAAAAGGUGGUGCAAAUGGGAAGAACAACCUUGAGAACAGGUUGCAGAGUCAGGAUGGAGCUCAGUCAGGAGCCCUACAUGAACAGUGUUGGUUGGGGGUUGUUUAUUUCUCACCAACUCCUUUGUUCUAACCUCUCCUAAUAACAACCACAGAAUUCAAGAAAGGGGCUGACUCUCUCUUUUCAUUGAAUGGUUUAAAUUUUGCUCAAUUGAUCCAGGUAUUCAUACAGCCAUUGAUAUCUCACAGGGCAUGACAUGGGGCAUAAGUGGACUCCAUGACGGGCUUUAUGAAAUUGAUUAUUAAAACUGCUUAAGCCUUCUGAUUAGACAAGUGUAUUUAAACUUCUGUUUUACUAAGGUAUCAACCUUAGAUAGUACCUUAUAUAGGUCUUGGAGAUAAUGUUUUCAUUUUCUGAAUUUCCAACUGAAUAAGAGAUUAGACAUUCUUUUUCUUCUGGAACCCUAGAUAUAGGAAUAGGAUUUUAAUAUCCUCAAUAAAAGAGCAUGCCUCAUAUUUAAUUGCGU